GACGAACGCUGGCGGCGUGCCUAAUACAUGCGAGUCGAGCGAAGUUUUUCUGGUGCUUGCACUAGAAAAACUUAGCGGCGAACGGGUGAGUAACACGUAAAGAACCUGCCUCAUAGACUGGGACAACUAUUGGAAACGAUAGCUAAUACCGGAUAACAGUAUUUCUCGCAUGAGAGGUAUUUAAAAGUUGGUUAUGCUAACACUAUGAGAUGGCUUUGCGGUGCAUUAGCUAGUUGGCGGGGUAAAGGCCCACCAAGGCGACGAUGCAUAGCCGACCUGAGAGGGUGAUCGGCCACACUGGGACUGAGACACGGCCCAGACUCCUACGGGAGGCAGCAGUAGGGAAUCUUCCGCAAUGGGCGAAAGCCUGACGGAGCAACGCCGCGUGAGUGAAGAAGGAUUUCGGUUCGUAAAGCUCUGUUGUUAGGGAAGAAUGGAUAUGUAGUAACUAUACAUGUAAGAGACGGUACCUAACCAGAAAGCCACGGCUAACUACGUG
RNAcentral lists this ribosomal RNA (499 nucleotides) under uncultured bacterium. RNAcentral's name for it is "partial 16S ribosomal RNA". It matches the Rfam family "Bacterial small subunit ribosomal RNA", at positions 28 to 507 of the family's 1533-position model. The record is from RNAcentral.